UCACAACAUACACCGUCAGAUUGACAUUCCAAUUGAAAUUUUCGCGAACAAUUCACUCAAUUGCGUCCUGGUGAAUUCUGUUGCAAGUCGCGGGGAAUAUCUACCAUUUUUGGCCGAGACCGCAGCACACGAACCAUCUUUGUGAACCGGUAAAGUGGAAGCAGAAGCGAAAUGUCCUUGAACACGGCUCACGCCAAUAAUGGCGUAUUAAUUCACGCUGGAGAAUACAUUCUAUUGUUCAGCGAUAAUGUCAGCAUGGAAUUUUCUGGUCAAGACAGUCCUGUCUUCAAGGGAUCCAAAACCGGAAAGAUAUACCUAACGACACAUCGCAUGAUCUUCAAUGCGAAACAUCAAAGUGAUCCUCUCCAAUCAUUCAGCUUUCCGUUUAUCUCCCUCAGCGAUGUGGACAUAGAGCAACCAACAUUCGGAUCAAAUUACAUCAAAGGCAAAGUUCGUGCUCAGCCUAAUGGCAAUUGGAUCGGCGAAGCGAAAUUCAAGUUGUACUUCAAAUCCGGUGGUGCGAUUGAUUUUGGACAGGCAAUGCUGCGGGCAGCUCGUAUGGCUCAACGUAACUUCAACAAUGAUGCUCCACCACCGUACACACCACCGACGGGUGGUUGGUAUCAGGCGCCUCCGCCAGCUUAUGCACCGAAUCCUCAAGGCUACUAUGGAUGGGUACCACCGACACAGGCAUUCCCGAAUGGACCACCACCAAAUACAGUCUUUAUGACUGAUAAUCCUCCACCAUAUCCAGGAAUAGUUCCGCACGCCUAUUACUAUACCGUCCGACCUUUCUAUGUCUUUCCUUUACCAGUGUUUUGCAUUUAAAAAUCUUUAUAAAUUUAUUUUGUGACCAAGGAGGAGGAAGCGGCUCAAAGUGCAUAUUACGACCCCAACCAACCACAAACUGCUUUCGUGCCGCCACCAGCAUAUUAUGAACCACCCCCAAGCUAUAAUUCCAUUGCUAAUAAGAAGGAUCAGUGAAUUG
This 988-nucleotide unclassified non-coding RNA is filed under the name Hermetia illucens (black soldier fly). RNAcentral's name for it is "wW domain-binding protein 2, transcript variant X1". The record is from RNAcentral. Lineage: Eukaryota; Metazoa; Arthropoda; Insecta; Diptera; Stratiomyidae.